UUUGUUUAUCAGACAGACAUGAUUUGGCUAAGAUCAAGUGUAGUAUCUGUUCUUUUCAGAUUAAUACAUGAAAUGUGGGGUACUCCCCCACUCUUGUAUUAAUUUGAUUUUUGAAACUCAGGGUUUGGCUUUGUGGCUUGCCGCACCAGUCCCACGGGUUGUCCUGGUAUUUCAGUACCUCCAGGUUCGGCCCACAAAGA
Small nuclear RNA from Styela clava, 200 nucleotides. RefSeq annotates it as U2 spliceosomal RNA. Lineage: Eukaryota; Metazoa; Chordata; Ascidiacea; Stolidobranchia; Styelidae. The record is from RefSeq and is a predicted model, not a curated record.